This 329-nucleotide ribosomal RNA is filed under the name uncultured eukaryote. RNAcentral's name for it is "partial 18S ribosomal RNA". It matches the Rfam family "Eukaryotic small subunit ribosomal RNA", at positions 1470 to 1796 of the family's 1831-position model. The record is from RNAcentral.
CCCUUAGAUGUUCUGGGCCGCACGCGCGCUACACUGACGGAGGCAGCGAGCGUGUCCUUCGCCGGCAGGUGCGGGCAAUCUUGCGAGUCUCCGUCGUGCUGGGGAUAGAUGGUUGCAAUUGUCGAUCUUGAACGAGGAAUUCCUAGUAAGCGCGAGUCAUCAGCUCGCGCUGAUUACGUCCCUGCCCUUUGUACACACCGCCCGUCGCUACUACAGAGUGCCCGUGUCCAAGAAACGGUCGGACCUGUGCGGCCUCUCCGGGCGACCGGAGGGCCGUUACGGGGAAGACCCUUUAUUUGACGCGGGUGGAUGAAGUAAAAGUCGUAACA